RNAcentral lists this long non-coding RNA (370 nucleotides) under Pogona vitticeps (central bearded dragon). RNAcentral describes it as "lncRNA (ENSPVIG00000001553.1)". Lineage: Eukaryota; Metazoa; Chordata; Lepidosauria; Squamata; Agamidae. The record is from RNAcentral.
GAUGAAAGGACCUGAACAACUGCAUUUCUAAAGCAGCUGAUGUCCCUUCUGUACUUAUCUGCAUGUACUCUACAAUAUCUCAAUCAUCAUGAAGACUACCAGGAUUUCAAUUGUUAUCCUUCCAUGGAUUCUCUUGGCUUCUACUGGAUACGCCUGUGUUUUGGAAGCGAUAACGACAGCAGAAGUCUGCAAAGAGAUAGGUGCCGUUUGUGUCCCUGGAGAUGAUUGCAAGUCACUUUUCGCCCCCCAGGGAACGUGUGGUGAAGGCAUCUUAUGUUGUUUUCUGUUUAAUGGAGAAUAGCCAGCUGUGGAUAAAUGAUGGAUUCUUUUCUUCAAAGAAAUAAAAAUGGUUUAAUGCAUUUGUAAUCCA